AGAGUUUGAUCCUGGCUCAGGACGAACGCUGGCGGCGUGCUUAAGACAUGCAAGCCGAAACGGGCCCGAGGCUCUUCGGGGCCUUGGUUAGUGGCGGACGGGUGAGUAACACGUGAGCAACCUGCCCUUAGGGCCGGGAUAACACCGUCGAAAAGGGGUGCGUAAAUACCGGAUAAAGGUCCCUCUUUCACAUGGGAGGGGAGGAAAGGUGGCGGACUUCCAUUGGGGUUCGGCGCCGCCGGAGGAGGGGCUCGCGGCCCAUUAGCUAGUUGGUGUGGUAACGGCGCACCAAGGCGACGAUGGGUAGCCGGCCGUGAGAGGGUGAACGGCCGACACUGGGACUGAGAC
RNAcentral lists this ribosomal RNA (348 nucleotides) under uncultured prokaryote. RNAcentral's name for it is "bacterial SSU rRNA". It matches the Rfam family "Bacterial small subunit ribosomal RNA", at positions 8 to 325 of the family's 1533-position model. The record is from RNAcentral.